GUCACGAGCCACCGCCCUGGGCGGGACGGGACCGGGACCGGGACCGGGGCCGGGGCCGGACCGGACGGGGGGCGCUCCCGGGGCGGGACGCUUAGGUCCCGGGGAGGGGGGCGGGGUCCGGGGGCUCCAGAUGAGCGGUGGUCGCCCCUUGGGGUCAGGAGACCCCACCCCCUCCCGCCUGGGCCCGCCCCUCGCCCACUCGCCCACUCCCCUCUCCCCAUUGUCCUCAGACAAAGCCCUCGCCCGCCCCCUCCCCUGACUCUCCGCCUCUCUGUGUGUCUGUCUGUCUCUCCUCCUCUUCCUUUCUCCCUCCCCCCGGCUGCCGGUCUCUGUCUCUCUCCUCCUCCUCUCCCUCCUCCUUUUCUGCUCCUGCUCGUGCUCCUCCUGUCCCGUCCCGUCCCGUCCGGUCCGGCCCGGUCCCGUUCCGGCCGCCCUCCCUUUCCGCCGAGGGCCCCGGAGAGGGGCGGGCGGGCUGGGUCCGAGGGCGGAGGGCGGAGGGCGGGCCGGGGAUCCGAGGGCUCCGGGCGGCCGGGCUCCCGGCUGCUGGGAAGGCGCCCGGACGCCGGGGACCCGCCGCUGCCCCCGGGGAGGGGAUUUCCCCGGCCGGCCCCGCCCCAGGCCUGCCCCCGCCCCGGGGAGGGGCCGGGCCCCGGGGGUCCUGGCCGGGCCGGAGCCGGGGCCGCCGGUCGGAGGGGGCCGAGGUGGGUGACGGAGCCUGCUCCGGGCUGCGCGGGGAGGCCGGCCGGACGGACGGACGGACGGACGGCCCGCGAGCGCCUCGCCUUCCUCCUCCUCCUCCCUUCUUCCCCUUUCCCCUCUCCGCUCGGCCUUAGUCCCUCUGCCCCCUCCCUUUGCCUUCUCCCAGCCCUGCCCCCGGCCCCCGCCGCCCUCUCCUCCCCGGCCCCCGCUUCUCUCUUCCCUUCUCCCCCAGUUCCUCUUCAAUCAGGUCCCCCUGUCCUGUCCCCUCCCCUCCCCUCCCCUCCCCGUCUCGUCUCCCCUGUCCUGUCCUGUCCCGUCCCCUCCCCUCCCCUCCCCGUCUCGUCUCCCCGUCCCGUCCCGUCCGCUCCCCUCUCCUGGCUCGGCCCAGCGCGGCCCGCUCUCCCUCGUUCCCUCCCUCUUGCAGCCCGCUCUCCCUUCGCUUCCCUCCUCAGCCCCGCUUCGGGAAUCCCCCUGCCUCCGACCCCUGCCUUGCUGCCGCCGCCGCCGCCGCCCACCCCAGAGCCGGGGGCCGGCAGGGCCCGGCCC
Molecule: long non-coding RNA, 1245 nt
Filed under: Ornithorhynchus anatinus (platypus)
Lineage: Eukaryota; Metazoa; Chordata; Mammalia; Monotremata; Ornithorhynchidae
Description: lncRNA (ENSOANG00000049812.1)
Source: RNAcentral